GAUGAACGCUAGCGGCAGGCCUAACACAUGCAAGUCGAGGGAGAAGCCUUUCGGGGCAGAAACCGGCGCACGGGUGCGUAACGCGUAUGCAACCUACCUUUCACAGGGGGAUAGCCCGAAGAAAUUUGGAUUAAUACCCCAUAAUAUUGUUGGAUGGCAUCAUCUGAUAAUUAAAACUGCGGUGGUGAAAGAUGGGCAUGCGUCCUAUUAGCUAGUUGGAGUGGUAACGGCACCCCAAGGCUACGAUAGGUAGGGGUCCUGAGAGGGAGAUCCCCCACACUGGUACUGAGACAGGGACCAGACUCCUACGGGAGGCAGCAGUGAGGAAUAUUGGUCAAUGGUCGGAAGACUGAACCAGCCAUGCCGCGUGCAGGAAGAAUGCCUUAUGGGUUGUAAACUGCUUUAUAUGGGAAGAAUAAGGUGUACGUGUACAUUGAUGACGUACCAUAUGAAUAAGCAUCGC
RNAcentral lists this ribosomal RNA (463 nucleotides) under Capnocytophaga granulosa. RNAcentral's name for it is "bacterial SSU rRNA". It matches the Rfam family "Bacterial small subunit ribosomal RNA", at positions 28 to 496 of the family's 1533-position model. The record is from RNAcentral. Lineage: Bacteria; Pseudomonadati; Bacteroidota; Flavobacteriia; Flavobacteriales; Flavobacteriaceae.